UACGUAGGGUGCGAGCGUUAAUCGGAAUUACUGGGCGUAAAGCGUGCGCAGGCGGUUCGACAAGUCCGAUGUGAAAGCCCCGGGCUCAACCUGGGAAUGGCAUUGGAAACUGGCGAGCUUGAGUGUGGCAGAGGGGGGUGGAAUUCCGCGUGUAGCAGUGAAAUGCGUAGAGAUGCGGAGGAACACCGAUGGCGAAGGCAGCCCCCUGGGCUGACACUGACGCUCAGGCACGAAAGCCAGGGGAGCGAACGGG
RNAcentral lists this ribosomal RNA (253 nucleotides) under uncultured bacterium. RNAcentral describes it as "partial 16S ribosomal RNA". It matches the Rfam family "Bacterial small subunit ribosomal RNA", at positions 524 to 776 of the family's 1533-position model. The record is from RNAcentral.